RNAcentral lists this long non-coding RNA (304 nucleotides) under Gossypium barbadense (sea-island cotton). RNAcentral's name for it is "long non-coding RNA (GBAR_LNC012502)". Lineage: Eukaryota; Viridiplantae; Streptophyta; Magnoliopsida; Malvales; Malvaceae. The record is from RNAcentral.
AGCCCAAACCUAAACCAGACCCAUUACAGCGGACCCAAACAGACCCACCUAAUACCAAUAAACUCGAAGGCCCAAAUAGUAGGGGCCCAAAUGACUUUCAGAUAGGGUUAAAAACCAUAGCUCUCUUUCUCCUCGAGUCGCAAAGGAUUCUGGAUGCUUCAGGCGCCUCAGACGUCAUGUCCAAUAAGCGCCCUUUCGUUUCACGAAACUCCAGAACUUUCGGGGAGCGUCUGUUGGCCUCAUGUCAAGGCUCCAUCAGCGCCACGACUUUCUCCUUGACCUUAGCUACUGGAUGUCGCGCCAC